AAUCUGGGGUCCCCGACCUCCGAGUUGUAAUUUGGAGAGGCAUCUUCGGGGGGGAGCGCCGGCCCAUGUUCCUUGGAACAGGACGUCACAGAGGGUGAGAAUCCCGUGCCAGGCCGGCUCCCUCCUCCCGGGUGAAGCGCCUUCGACGAGUCGAGUUGUUUGGGAAUGCAGCUCCAAGUGGGUGGUAAGUUUCAUCUAAAGCUAAAUACCGGCGGGAGACCGAUAGCGCACAAGUAGAGUGAUCGAAAGAUGAAAAGCACUUUGAAAAUAGAGUCAAAAAGUACGUGAAAUUGUUGAAAGGGAAGCGCUUGAGACCAGACUCAGGCCCGGGCAAACACCUCGCCCUCCGGGGCCGUGCAAUUGCCUGGGGCUGGGCCAGCAUCAGUCGGCGUGGCGGGACAAAGGUGCGGGGAAUGUGGCUCCCCUCGGGGAGUGUUACCAGCCCCGCGCUCAAUGCCGCCGACGCCGACUGAGGACCGCGCCUCGGCUAGGAUGCUGGCUUAAUGGCCUUCAGCGACCCGUCUUGAAACACGGA
This 535-nucleotide ribosomal RNA is filed under the name Helvella fistulosa. RNAcentral's name for it is "eukaryotic LSU rRNA". It matches the Rfam family "Eukaryotic large subunit ribosomal RNA", at positions 119 to 665 of the family's 3401-position model. The record is from RNAcentral. Lineage: Eukaryota; Fungi; Ascomycota; Pezizomycetes; Pezizales; Helvellaceae.